CGGCCGCGCCGCCUCCGUGAGGGGGCGAGUCGGGAUUGUGUCACCCGCCCCGGGCUGACGCGUGGGCGAAAAUCGAUCGUGUCACCCGCCCCGAGUGACCUCCUGGGCCGAGAGCGGCACCUCGUUCCCCCGGCACGGCCCGGGAGGCGCCGCUCCGUCCCAACAUGGCGGGUGCCGCCUCUUCGUAGCCCGCCCCGGCUGUCAGCGCUGCCGCGGGCACGGACGGGCCGGGGAGGUCACGGCUGAAGAGCUGCUGGCGUGGUGCAGAAUUACCUGUGCUUAAGGUGCAGGCUCAGAGUUGUUCCUGCCCAAAGCCCAGCAGCCUCCAGUGCCUUGACCUGCCAGUGAGGUGUGAGCUGUUCUCCAGAGCAGCUCCUUCCUGCCCCUGGCAGAGCCCAGGGCUCGCAGCCAAGGCUCUGCAUCCAGCCCUCACAGCACAUCAAACCCCAGCACACGCCUGCUUUUCAUCUUGCUUAGUUCACUACACGAUAGCUAAAACAUAUGAGUACUUUUUUUGUUUGAUCUUUGUUUUGUUCCAGAAAAUACUGUAUUUGUUUCAUAGGAAGAGGUUAGCCUUAUUUGAUCAGAACUUGUGGAUGCCUGAGCCAGGAUCCUGUCUGCUAUAGCACUCUGCCUCAGACACUCCAGAGAAGAGGCUCAGCACCUUACACUAAGGAGAUGUAUUUAUUCUGUCCUUUUCCUGUUUCACCAGAAGAAUUUAUUUAAAUUUUCCCUCCACCAGCCUUUCUUACUAAUUUGAACCAUUAUUUUUUUUUCUUAGCUGAUUCAAUUUUAUGACCAUUUCCAUAGUGCCUGUUGUUACAGAAGUGUACGGAAUGACAUUAAACACAUCAUUGUUCAGAUCAGCCUAAGAGUGGACUAAACAACUUGAAUAAUAACUGCUACAGGCAGCAUCUGCUGUUUUGUGGCUGUUCUUCAAGCUACCUACUUGAAUUUUCUGUUGCUGAUUCUACUUUGCCUCACAGAGGUUGAAAUUGUGGAGAUGGUGUGAUGGUAUUACAUAACUAUUUCUCCUCCUAGUGUUCUCCAGAACUGAUAAAGACUUGAGAGUGGACUUGGAUUUCUGGAAUCCCUAUUACUGUUUCCUUCACCAAAGGUUCUUAAAGAGAUUUGGUUGCCAUGGAAGAUUAACAUAAAUCCUUAUUAAAAAUAGAAUAAGGAAUAAAAGGUUUUUACAGCAAAAUC
Molecule: long non-coding RNA, 1206 nt
Organism: Motacilla alba alba
Lineage: Eukaryota; Metazoa; Chordata; Aves; Passeriformes; Motacillidae
Exons: 2
Source: RefSeq, a predicted model, not a curated record